Molecule: unclassified non-coding RNA, 265 nt
Filed under: Hevea brasiliensis (rubber tree)
Lineage: Eukaryota; Viridiplantae; Streptophyta; Magnoliopsida; Malpighiales; Euphorbiaceae
Source: RNAcentral
AAAAAAAUGUCUAUAAAACACAUAUCAUGCCCUUUUGUAGAUAAUAAAAGCUAGUAAAAUAUAGAAUAAUAUAAUUUCACACCUGUAAAAUUAAUAAGGAAUAUAUAAAAGUUUAUGAUUUGACCUUAGAUGUAUCUUUGGGUGGAGGGGUGAAGAUCAAUCUCUUGGGUCCAAGCAGAUCGAUCUUGGAUAUGCAAAUGCCAGUAGGUCUGAGCCACCCCAUCUGGGUCCAUUAAUUCCUCUCCGGCCCAUACGCCGGUUUGUU